This 198-nucleotide unclassified non-coding RNA is filed under the name uncultured Clitopilus. RNAcentral describes it as "sequence contains ITS2". Lineage: Eukaryota; Fungi; Basidiomycota; Agaricomycetes; Agaricales; Entolomataceae. The record is from RNAcentral.
AAUUCUCAACCAUACAAGUUUUUCACAAAACCUGUGCGGCUUGGACCUUGGGAUUUGCGGGCUUUACAAGUCGGCUAUCCUUAAAUGUAUUAGCAGAGCUAUUGUUGAUAAUCUCUGGUGUGAUAGUUAUCUACGCCAUUGAGACGCAACAUAUUUAUGGCUUAGCUUAUAAUCGUCUUCAAAGACAACAUUUGACAA